Non-coding RNA from Paramormyrops kingsleyae, 2425 nucleotides. The record is from RefSeq and is a predicted model, not a curated record. NCBI's taxonomy places the organism in Eukaryota, Metazoa, Chordata, Actinopteri, Osteoglossiformes, Mormyridae.
GCAGGGUUCAUUUCACAAAUAUAAAUUACAGUAAUUGAGCUUUAAAGAAAAAGCGUGUAUCUGAAGCCAUUUUUUAAGUAUAACUGGUAAAAAAAAUAGAUUUAUUUAUAGUAUCUACAAAGCACUUAAAAGUUAUCCAACUAACUUUUCGCUUGAUUUUGAAGUUUUUUUAGACUAUACUUUGAAAUUUGGUGCCACCUUCUGGUCACAAUAAUGAACUAUUACUACUUGUGGAAGAGCAAUAGAGAUGCAAAUACAGUAUAUGAUUUAAAGUGCUUCACCUGAUGUGUAGAUGUCUAGCACCCGAAGAAACUGUGUUCUUAAAGGUUUCCUCGUUGCUUGUGACCUACCGCAUAGGUGUUAUCCGCCAAUACAAAGAGACAGGCCUAUCUAACCAACAAACUAGCCCAAGACUUAUGUGUCCCAGCACUGAGGUAAAUUAAACUUUGGUUACAGAGAUUCUUGAUGAUAGUUAGAUCAAGGUAAAUUGCCUGUAUAAAUAACAGACUGGAGCUGUGAUGAUGCUAUGCUUGAUGAAUCUGAUGGAGGUUGGCACUUAUGUUCUGCAGGGAGCACUGAUUGUCAAGCCACAUGAUCUCAGGUGCUCCUCCAUAACGUUACUUUUAGUGAGUUUGAGCCUUUGUCAGUCAAAAGGAGUUUUAUUCUAUUCGGAUGACCCCUUCAGCUGUGGCAUUCCAUGAGGAUGUGAUGCAUCUCUUGUGAGAGAUCAAUGGUAUUUCUCAUAACGAUAUCCUUUAAUGAAACUGAUAUUUUGAUCAAUACCCCUCUAAUUAUCCUGAGUUCAUGAAACUCUGUUGGGACUGGGAACACUGGAAUCUUCCAGUCUACCAAGUUCCAGAAAUGUCCUUAAUUCCACUUUCAAUGCACCCCUUAAGUCUUCAGGCUACCCUUUCCUAACUUGGCAUCACGGUGACUCUGUGCUGGUUGGCAUCAGAGUGACUGCUCAGUGCUGGUUGGCAUCAGAGUGACUGCUCAGUACUGGUUGGUAUCAGAGUGACUGCUCAGUGCUGGUUUGACUCAUACCUUGUAACUGACAAGUGGCUUGAGGUGCAGAGGAGUCCAAAUCACAUCAGGUAACAACCGGUGUUCCCCAAGGCUCUGUCCUUGGUUCUCUCCUCUUCUCUGUUUAUGUUUUCUGUCUAGGCCAGAUGAUCCAGUCAGAUGGCUUCUACUACCACUGCUAUGCUGAUGAUAUCCAGAUCUACUUGAUCUUCAUUCUUGACGGCACCAUAAUUUCUGCUAGUCCAUGCUAGGUUGACAUCGCAGCCUGGAUGAGGGACCAACACCUCCACUUAAUCUCUCUAAAAUGAGCUUCUUGUCAUCCCUGCCAGCACUAUAAUUCAUACUGACGUGAUUGUUCAAGGACUACCAGGAACCUAGAGUUCAAGUGCUUGGUUCAUCAAUGGGCUGGCUCUCAUCUUCAUUAAAAGGCUCCUCGAGACCAAUGUCCCAUCUCGCCCCCUCUGGUCAGCAAAUCAACAACACCUGGACCUCCUUCCAACAUGGGAGAAGUGUCACUGCAUACAGUUUUCUUGUGUGGUUCCCUGAUCGUAAACAAUAAACAAUUCAUAAAGAAAUACAUGCUGGCCUGGGGUGAAAUAAUGAGCCUUCUUGGUCUGGUGCAGGAUACAUCGAAAAGAGGAACCCUGGAAUUUUACUGUCAGUCUCUCUGUCUGAAUGCUAGGAGUGAUUCUACUCCAUUGGGCCCUUGAGCAAGGCUCUUAACCUGCGAUUGCUUCUUCCUGGGUAUGAUGUACACCUACAUCCAACCCUGCAAGCAGGUCCUCCAACUUUCAGGGAAAAUGUGGGGGAUUGGCAAUUAUGAGGUAUCACCCGCCACACGGCUGCACUCGGGUUCUCAUCCCUAAGCUGGUUCGUCCUGUGGUGGGUAUCAGCGCACGCUCCUUACCUUACCUCACUGUGCAGAUCUCUGUUUCUACACCACUGGUGGAUUCCUGCAGGCCAUCAGUGAUGCACAUGGCCUCAGCAAGGCUGCUGUGUCCAAAUCUGUGCCUGUGUUGGUCACAUUUCUGUUGCAUCAUGUUUACAACUACAUACAAUUUCCAGCAGGAGAGGAUGCCUCGCAUGACGAUUGGUAAAUACUCGUAGAUUUCACUUGUUCUGUACCUAUCUUCAUUAUCUUACUCGUUAUUCACUAAGAUCGAUUGCUUUCUGGAAACAGCCCUGACUGUUUGUACUGAUAUCCAGUCGAAACUUACAAGUUUCUGUUAUAUCUCCAGUGUUGCUUGAACUGCAUUACUUCUGUUUAAUUGCCCUACUUUUGCUAUCAGCCCUUUAUUUGUUUACUGGAAUUGAUCAUUUUAAUUCAUUUGGAUUUUUUUUUACUAUGCAUACCUUGUUGUAUCUUGUUAUUAGACAAUAAAUUGGUGGUGUUUAAUUAUUA